GAUGAACGCUGGCGGCGUGCCUAAUACAUGCAAGUCGAGCGAACAGACGAGGAGCUUGCUCCUCUGACGUUAGCGGCGGACGGGUGAGUAACACGUGGAUAACCUACCUAUAAGACUGGGAUAACUUCGGGAAACCGGAGCUAAUACCGGAUAAUAUAUUGAACCGCAUGGUUCAAUAGUGAAAGACGGUUUUGCUGUCACUUAUAGAUGGAUCCGCGCCGCAUUAGCUAGUUGGUAAGGUAACGGCUUACCAAGGCAACGAUGCGUAGCCGACCUGAGAGGGUGAUCGGCCACACUGGAACUGAGACACGGUCCAGACUCCUGCGGGAGGCAGCAGUAGGGAAUCUUCCGAAAUGGGCGAAAGCCUGACGGAGCAACGCCGCGUGAGUGAUGAAGGUCUUCGGAUCGUAAAACUCUGUUAUUAGGGAAGAACAAAUGUGUAAGUAACUAUGCACGUCUUGACGGUACCUAAUCAGAAAGCCACGGCUAACUACGUG
RNAcentral lists this ribosomal RNA (497 nucleotides) under uncultured bacterium. RNAcentral describes it as "partial 16S ribosomal RNA". It matches the Rfam family "Bacterial small subunit ribosomal RNA", at positions 28 to 507 of the family's 1533-position model. The record is from RNAcentral.